GGGGAUGUGGUGGAAUGGUAGACAUAACAGACUUAAAAUCUGUUGAUUUUUUAAUAAUCGUGAGGGUUCAAGUCCCUCCAUCCCCA
This 86-nucleotide transfer RNA is filed under the name Gracilaria multipartita. RNAcentral's name for it is "tRNA-Leu". It matches the Rfam family "tRNA". Rfam says of the family: Transfer RNA (tRNA) molecules are approximately 80 nucleotides in length. Their secondary structure includes four short double-helical elements and three loops (D, anti-codon, and T loops). Further hydrogen bonds mediate the characteristic L-shaped molecular structure. tRNAs have two regions of fundamental functional importance: the anti-codon, which is responsible for specific mRNA codon recognition, and the 3' end, to which the tRNAs corresponding amino acid is attached (by aminoacyl-tRNA synthetases). tRNAs cope with the degeneracy of the genetic code in two manners: having more than one tRNA (with a specific anti-codon) for a particular amino acid; and 'wobble' base-pairing, i.e. permitting non-standard base-pairing at the 3rd anti-codon position. The record is from RNAcentral. Lineage: Eukaryota; Rhodophyta; Florideophyceae; Gracilariales; Gracilariaceae. RNAcentral also lists the same sequence under 5 other names.